Helianthus annuus (common sunflower) is the source of this 2427-nucleotide RNA transcript. It is a transcript of the gene named protein ESKIMO 1-like, with no coding region annotated. The transcript has 5 exons. Lineage: Eukaryota; Viridiplantae; Streptophyta; Magnoliopsida; Asterales; Asteraceae. The record is from RefSeq and is a predicted model, not a curated record.
UAUAUUAAUUCACAACAUAACCGAACAACAGUGAAUUAACGGUAACGGCGUCACCCUAAAUCACAUUCUUCACUUCUUCUUCACCAGAUCGACACCUUCCCACCACCGCCCUCCAUCAUCGUCUUCAACGCCAACGCCACUCACUGCGUCGCCCACAUCCGCCUCCAUCUCCACCACCACUUCCCUCUCGCUGCUUCCGACCACCACGGCCUCACCCGUCUUCUCCAGCCAUACCGGAACCACUACGCACCACCGUAGAUCUGUGGUUAUCUAUGAUACAAAUGAGAUUGUGAGGUGUUAGAGAAAGAAAUGGAGCGAUGAGUAUUGCACCACCGUUGCCGGAGGCACCGGCUUCAGGUCAGCGUUUUGCUUUUUAUUUUUCUUUGCAUUUUGUGGUUUAAUGUUGGGUUACUUUGUGGUGUGGUUGUUACAACCGCUGGUAUUGUUGUUUCACCACCGCCGAUGAUUGGAACCUGCCUAUUGGCGUGGCAACUCCGGUUGCAGCCUGGGCGACACUGAGCCGUCAAGACGAUGACGAUCUAUCAGAUCCGAGUCUGUUGGUUUAGUUAAAUCUGUUUUUUGUAAGGGUGAGAUUUGGGAUUUUGAUUUUGUCGGCGGUUUACGAGGCGUCUAUGACGGCGAUGAACGGUGGUUGUGGAUGUAUAGUGUUUCCUUAAUUUUGGGGGUUUCGUGGUUAGCUUUUGUGUCAUUGUUGCACGUGAGUUUGAAACCAGCUAUGGUUGUUGCUUUUUUUUCCAUGGAUAUCGAUGUGUUGAGCUAUGAUGAUGUUGUAUGAAGUUUUUGGUGGUCUGAUAUACGAUGCUUACCUGGCCGUGAUGGUUUCCUGAGCCUUGGAUGUGUGUUUCCGUUAACCUUUGUGUGCAUUAUCUUGUAUGUAUUAAAACAUAACAUAACUGAGAAACAGUCAUUUAACGGUGACGGCGUCAACUUGCCAUCUUCUAAACCCUAAUACCUAAAUCAGAGUUUCUUCUUCACCACAUCGACACCUUCCCACCACCGCCCUCCAUCAUCGUCCUGAACCCCAACGCCACCCACUCCGUCGCACGCAUCCGCCUCCAUCUCCAUCACCACUUCCGCGUCGCCGGUCUCCGACAUCAGAUGGAAAUGAAACACCCAGUGUAGUCAGGAGACUCAACAUAAGGUUUCUUCCAAAGGCGAGGAGCCUUCGAUGAAGGCGCAACAGAGUAUGACGAAGUCGAUAGGCCAGUAGCGUAUGGAAGAGUACUCAAAAUAUGGUCCGAGUGGGUCGAUUUAAAUGUAAACCCUAAUCGCAUCAUGGUCUUUUUUAAUAGCAUGUCUCCUCUUCAUAUCAAGUAAGUUCUCAACAAUCUCUUGCAUAAUCGGACCAGUCAUUGACCCGUCCAACGUACCAUUCCACGCGGUUUAAAACUGGAUGACGUCAUAAAUAUAUAUGUAUGGUCACCUGGGUUAUUAAUACAUGUGGCAAAAUCAAUAAAUAUACGCAUAUGUAAUGACACUAGCUAUUAUAUUACAAAUGAGUUCUGGUUAAAAUGAGACAUUACUACAUUAGAUAAUUGAUUACUAUUAUAAUUACAAAACUAGAUAUUUGUAUUAAUCAAAAUAAGAACAAGUGAGUUUCGGUCACGAUGAGUUGAGUGGGAAUAUAGAUAUAGAUAGUUAAAACGAGUUAGAAGGUUGUAAUCAUUUGGAAAACUUUCAGUAUGAUGGUUAUUAAUAAAUAUAUGGUCCGAUUUAAUUAAUAAUGGUUAAAUUGAUCAAUUGUAGUCGAUUACCAAGUCUACAUCUUAGAGUUAGAAUAUAUAUUAGCUUUAGUUAGUUAGUUUCAAAACGUGUGGACUGUGAUUUGAUUGCCAUAAAAUGAAUUAGUAGGGUAUUAGCUGCACCAUUAGUUGUAAAUUGUAAUCUAAGUCUUGGUUGUACCUAAAAUUAUAUGUUGACAUUUCAGCCACAUAAUAAAUAUAUACAUGUACAUGAUGAGGAAGAAAAAGAAAGGAAUUAAUCUGAGCUGUCCAUCUUUUUUUACCAUUCCUUUGCAUUUGAUCCUAAACAGUUCAUGCACAGCGUUCGAAAUAGAACAUGGCUCAGACAAUCAGACCGGAACACUUAUAGCCUGCCUUACAGCACUAUAACCUCAGGAACAUCUAUGCACAUGUUGCAUUAAAAUCAAACAGCAAUUACAAAUGGAGUGGCUGAAGAGCAACUAUUUUGGCAACUUAGGACAUCUUAAUUGCUUUGCAUUUCCUUAAUUUAAGCUGAUAGAAUAGCUAGACUAAUACUGUUUAUGUAAAUAUAAUUGUUUCCGACACUUUCGAACAUCUCUAGACUAGCGGUUAACAAUAAAUAUAACCAUCUUGUUCAAUGUUAUGAAAGUAAUGCUUAAACAUGUCGAUUAAUAAAGGAUUUGCAAUGACUUUGGCAUCCAAC